UAUAUUUAUGAAGUGUUUUCAAGUGGAUCGAGCUGCCGUUACUGACCAGUGAACUGAACUGCUGAUUUCCUGACAACACAGAUGAGAUUUGCUCCAAAGAACCAUUUCUAAACAGCUUCCUGAUAUCUUCCAGGUCACAGGCCAUUAAGCUCCAGAUCUCCAGCUUGUACUGCCUCAGGGAUAUCAACCAUCACCAUCAGUGCUGGCGCCUGCCUCCUACCAUCUAGAAGUUCCUGACCUUCAAUUGAUGUCAGUCUUGUCUUCAACCGCUUAAGAUAUGCUCUUCCUCUCCUCAUGCAAGUCUGACAACUGGGGAUCAGGUCAGCAGUGCAAAGCAGGGUCCUUCCAUGCUCAGAAUGGAUGGAUGUAGAGGAAAAGGUCAAAAAACAAGGGUGGAUGUUUCCAAACUUCAAUAAUUAAACUCUGACACCUUGGAGCCUGA
RNAcentral lists this long non-coding RNA (442 nucleotides) under Mus caroli (Ryukyu mouse). Its description in RNAcentral is "predicted gene 11195 (MGP_CAROLIEiJ_G0004774.1)". Lineage: Eukaryota; Metazoa; Chordata; Mammalia; Rodentia; Muridae. The record is from RNAcentral.